RNAcentral lists this ribosomal RNA (482 nucleotides) under uncultured bacterium. Its description in RNAcentral is "partial 16S ribosomal RNA". It matches the Rfam family "Bacterial small subunit ribosomal RNA", at positions 30 to 506 of the family's 1533-position model. The record is from RNAcentral.
UUGCACGCUGGCGGCAGGCCUAACACAUGCCAGUCGAGCGGAUGAAGGGAGCUUGCUCCUGGAUUCAGCGGCGGACGGGUGAGUAAUGCCUAGGAAUCUGCCUGGUAGUGGGGGAUAACGUCCGGAAACGGGCGCUAAUACCGCAUACGUCCUGAGGGAGAAAGUGGGGGAUCUUCGGACCUCACGCUAUCAGAUGAGCCUAGGUCGGAUUAGCUAGUUGGUGGGGUAAAGGCCUACCAAGGCGACGAUCCGUAACUGGUCUGAGAGGAUGAUCAGUCACACUGGAACUGAGACACGGUCCAGACUCCUACGGGAGGCAGCAGUGGGGAAUAUUGGACAAUGGGCGAAAGCCUGAUCCAGCCAUGCCGCGUGUGUGAAGAAGGUCUUCGGAUUGUAAAGCACUUUAAGUUGGGAGGAAGGGCAGUAAGUUAAUACCUUGCUGUUUUGACGUUACCAACAGAAUAAGCACCGGCUAACUUCGU